This is a long non-coding RNA of Suricata suricatta (meerkat), 528 nucleotides long. RefSeq lists it as uncharacterized. The transcript is spliced from 4 exons. NCBI's taxonomy places the organism in Eukaryota, Metazoa, Chordata, Mammalia, Carnivora, Herpestidae. The record is from RefSeq and is a predicted model, not a curated record.
GGUGAUUUGGUGCAGAGGGCUGCAAGAGGCUUCGUAGCUCACUCAUUGAUCAAUGUAAGGAGAGGAGUCAAAACUGGAAGCUGUUUGGAAAGAGUAAGCAGACUAAUUCACUUUGAAUCAACAUGUAUGAAAGAUUUACCUUCCUCAGACAUGGACAAAUUACAACCAAGAAUCCUAAGCAAGCAGAUCUCCUAAAUACUCUGAAGAAGAUGGGGCAGAAAAUCUGUUCAAUGAAUGGGUCAAGAGAGCUGCCAUGCCACAGGAUAUUCAGUGUAUGGGGUGGUUCGAACUGUGAGGAACUGAGGCCUGCUAACAUCCAUGUGAGUGAGCCUGGGAAAAGAUCAUGUUCCAGCCAAGCCUUGAGAUCCUUGUCCAGAAGUUUUGCUUUAAGCAAAUGAAAAAAAGAUUCCAGUAGCAGAAGUGAGCCCUAGUCAGCAGAACUACAUGCUUCAAAGUGGGUAAACAGAAGACAGAGGGCCUGAAUAUUUUAUAUCAGCACUUUCUUGCCUGGUUCCUGUAUGUGCUUUG